GGCAGAUUGAUGUUGAUAUACACAAACUUUGAAAAAGCUUUUGAUUGCAUGAUCAUAAUCGUAUAAUAAGCAUAUGAUAUAUGAUAGGGGACGAGGGGGCGUAGUCCCCUAAAAUUAUCUGAUACUUUUUUUUAUAAAAUACGUAGAUAUUUUAUAUAAUAAACCGGCAUUAAUAUCGUAUAUAUUUUAAAAAAGGCCGUAAUUUUUUAAACUUAACACAUAAAAAAAAAGAAUUACUACAUUAUGCUAUACCAUAAUAAUAUACAG
Non-coding RNA from Cinara cedri, 267 nucleotides. The record is from the annotation of a GenBank genome assembly. NCBI's taxonomy places the organism in Eukaryota, Metazoa, Arthropoda, Insecta, Hemiptera, Aphididae.